GCGGGGGGAAAAAACCCCCCAGGUCUUCCCGGAAAAAAAAAACCCACCACAUCCCGGUCGCUUUCCGGGCUUGUGCUAGCUUCAAAGAAAUCUUCCUUGGGGGAGGUAGUUGAAAAACUAUAAGGAUUGAGGAGGGCCAACCGGGGGCUGCGCUAUUUGACCACCGCGAAAACCCCCCCCCGGGCCCCGUGGGAUGACAGAUUAUAGCUUUCAUAUCGGGUUUUGUACCAGCCGCUAUCGGACCAAUGUCGUUACGAAACAGCCGACCCGCCUAAUCAGUGCGACUUUCCUGUGCUUCACUAGAGGGAUUGCUGCGCCUAGCGGCACGAAACGGAGCAAUAACAGGUCUGUGAUGCCCUUAGAUGUCCGGCUGCACGCGCCUACACUGGCAAAGGCAGCGUGCUUCGCCUCCGAAAGGAGCCGGUAAACCCUUGAAAAUUUGCCGUGUUGGGAUCGGAAAUUGCAAUUAUUUUCCGUGACGGAAUCAAUGUUA
RNAcentral lists this ribosomal RNA (493 nucleotides) under Ogma octangularis. Its description in RNAcentral is "partial 18S ribosomal RNA". It matches the Rfam family "Eukaryotic small subunit ribosomal RNA", at positions 1358 to 1611 of the family's 1831-position model. Lineage: Eukaryota; Metazoa; Nematoda; Chromadorea; Rhabditida; Criconematidae. The record is from RNAcentral.